GGGGGUGUAAUGGAUUCGACGGAGUGAGUAAAAUCGCAGGCUGCAUGCCGAGUUUGAGCGAUGAACUCGUAAAUCAUCAUCAUGCAAUUAAAUGUAGUUGACAACAACUAUUCUUAUAGCUUAGCUGCGUAACGCAGCUUAGCCGUUCCUUCAGCUUCUUGCCUGUCAGUGCUGAAUGGAGCGCCGACUAUGACAGGAUAGCGUGGGUUUCGCUGACUGUCGAACCUGCGUAAAACUUUAACAGUCUAGUCUGAAGUUGCCUGUUGCCGGGCGAUGCUUCAGGCGAACCUUAAACGGCAACUAAGCAUGUAGAUGCUUGAACGAUAUACCAUUUCGGACCGGGGUUCGAUUCCCCGCACCUCCACAA
Molecule: transfer-messenger RNA, 367 nt
Filed under: Fodinibius sp.
Lineage: Bacteria; Pseudomonadati; Balneolota; Balneolia; Balneolales; Balneolaceae
Rfam family: transfer-messenger RNA
About the family: Bacterial tmRNA, also known as 10Sa RNA or SsrA, is named for its dual tRNA and mRNA-like properties. Its role is to liberate the mRNA from a stalled ribosome.
Source: RNAcentral